RNAcentral lists this ribosomal RNA (468 nucleotides) under uncultured bacterium. RNAcentral describes it as "partial 16S ribosomal RNA". It matches the Rfam family "Bacterial small subunit ribosomal RNA", at positions 28 to 507 of the family's 1533-position model. The record is from RNAcentral.
GAAGAACGCUUGAGGCGUGCUUAACACAUGCAAGUCGAACGGAAAGGCCCUGCUUUUGUGGGGUGCUCGAGUGGCGAACGGGUGAGUAACACGUGAGUAACCUGCCCUUGACUUUGGGAUAACUUCAGGAAACUGGGGCUAAUACCGGAUAGGAGCUCCUGCUGCAUGGUGGGGGUUGGAAAGUUUCGGCGGUUGGGGAUGGACUCGCGGCUUAUCAGCUUGUUGGUGGGGUAGUGGCUUACCAAGGCUUUGACGGGUAGCCGGCCUGAGAGGGUGACCGGCCACAUUGGGACUGAGAUACGGCCCAGACUCCUACGGGAGGCAGCAGUGGGGAAUAUUGCACAAUGGGCGGAAGCCUGAUGCAGCAACGCCGCGUGCGGGAUGACGGCCUUCGGGUUGUAAACCGCUUUCGCCUGUGACGAAGCGUGAGUGACGGUAAUGGGUAAAGAAGCACCGGCUAACUACGUG